AGUGAAGCACUCACCCUCCAGCAAGGGGAGAACAGUACAGGUAGAGGCAGGAGCUGCAGACUGCACUUGGCUCCCAGCGACUAUGUAACUCAGGGUUGGGGUGGAGGUCCCAGAUGGCUGGAAUGGGCAGCGUCAGGGGCCUUGCACAACCCGGACCACAUGACCAGUCCAAAAGUCUCUGUGGCAACAGAUAAAGAGGGGGUAGCCUUUCUUAUCUGAAGAAAUGGGACAUUUGGCCAAGGCUGUCACAUACAGAACCUGGCUUCUCCUUCUCAGGGUUCAUUCCUGUGCUCUCAUGCCACAGACCAGGAACUGCGGUGAGCAUGAGAAGGGAUGUGCAGUCUGUGCUCCAGGAAGAGGUCCAUGGAUGUUCAGAGCCUCCGGGACACAUGCAGGAGUGAAAACUGAGCCUACAGGUUCUUGGAGACAAGCUGGGAGCAGCAGGAGCUGUGAGGGAUGCAGGGCCUGGCAAGGUGAGAGGAGGUGCCCCAAGCCUGCUCCCAUCAGGAACAAGGCCAGGCUACACCCAGAUCUUCUGUGUUUAGCACCGGACACUUAAAAGAUAAGUAUUGUGAUGGUUUGGAUAAGUAAUCUCCAAAGGCCAUGUGUUAAAUGCUUAGUCCUGGGGCUGUGGCACUCCUGGGAGGUGGUGGGACCUUUAAGGUGUGCAGCCUAGUUGGAGAAAGUUAGAUAACUGGAUAGGACAUGCCUUCAAAGAGGUCUUGGGACCUGGACCCUUCCUCUCUGUCUUUGCUUCCUGGCCACCAUCAAGUGAGCAACCUUCUCUGCCAUCCAUUCCCACUAUGAUGUGCUGCCUCACGACAGGCCCAAAGCAAUGGGGCCCAUUGAUUGUGGACAGAAACCUCUGAGCCAAAAACCCUUUCUUCCCUUGAUUACCUGAGGUAUUUUGUUAGAGUAAUGGAAAACUGACUGAUGCCACAAACACUGAUGCCAACAAAUAUGCAAGCAGUGCAGGCAAGGACAGACAGACAAGGGCAGCAUGUGUCCCUGGGUAAACUGGACUCAAUAGCACUUGGAAGAGCAUUUGGAAUGAUGUGCAAUGUGGGGGGUCAGGGGAAAGAGGCUGCUGAAAUUCCUCCCCAGGAUAUUGGAACCAAACCUGAGGGGCUAAUGGGGUCAGGAGCCCAGUACCCAUAGGCAGAAGGCUAAUUACUGGACCCCAUGCUCCCAGGUAUCUGACAGCCCCGAGGGACACAGACCCUGGCAGAGAGAAGAAUGAGGGAAUUCUCAAAACCAAGGUGCCAAGGGCAGCUCAUCAGGCUUCUGCAUUAGCUCCUUAGGUUUCCAAGUUCAGACAGAAUUUCUAAGAUGUGAAACAAAGACACGAAAGAACAGACAGACAGCGAGAACAAGCAUUAAUUAAAAUCGAGGCUCGUGGCAACUCAUAUGGCUCAGACCCCACAAGCUGGCGCGGCAAGAUUUCGAAUGCGCGCCUAUCCUCUGGCACGCCUUUCCUCUGUCUUCCUGAGCUGAUUCCAUCAUGGCCUUCAGGCUUUUUGGCAAAGCCUACCCAGUUUUAAUUUCCUUCCAAAUGUUGAAGAAAGAACAGCACUGCAUUCUAAUUUACUCAUACGGCUCCUCAGACCACAUGCUCCCAGAGCUGUGCUCAGGACAAGUCACUGAGUGCAAGGCCCUGAGCACUCCACUGGCACAGGCGGGAGGGGGCACUUCUCACUGACACUUGGACAGUCCACUUGGCACUCGCUUCACCCUCUCUGAGCUAUUGGUGGGGACCCCGAGAAGAGUCUGUGCUUGUGAUAGUGAUCUGUUUUCUUUCCUACCAGGGAAUGAACUCCUGUGGACAAAGAACCAAGUAUCCACCUCCCAGGUACGGAGUCCAACUUUCCGAGUGGCUGCUCUGGCUCCUGGGGAAACAGAAGAAAAAAGACAAACCCAGAAGCCCUAAGAAAUCUGGCAUAGUGAACCCCCAAACAGCCAUAGCCCUCUGCAUACACCCAGAGGAUCCUCAAAUGAGAGGGGUGUGUAGGUGGGUGUGUGGGACCUCCCCGCCCCAGACUCUUAGAGGCUGGGAGGCCCGAGGUCCAGUGUGGCUCAGGAAGGCUGGAACUGCUGCCAUCAAAAAUGAGUGACCCAGCUAUUCCCUUCUAGGCAUCCUCCCCAAAGAGUUAAAGAUGUCAUAUUACCAUGAUACAUGCAUACGCAUGUUCAUAACAGCUCAAUUCACAAUAGCGAAAUCUUGGGAGCAGCUUGUAUGUCUAUCGACAGAUAAAUGAAUAAAGAAAAUGUAGUAUUUAUACACAAUGGAGUACUAUUCUGCCAUAAAGAAGGAUAAACCUGAGUUAACUGUAGGAAAAUGAAUGCACCUUGAGACCAUAAUGUUAAGUGAAAUAAAUCAGACACACAAGCUUAAAUGGUUUCUCUUGUGUGAGAAACCCAAAAUGUAAAUAAAGACCAAAAUGAAAGA
Molecule: long non-coding RNA, 2446 nt
Organism: Chinchilla lanigera (long-tailed chinchilla)
Lineage: Eukaryota; Metazoa; Chordata; Mammalia; Rodentia; Chinchillidae
Source: Ensembl